This is a long non-coding RNA of Sarcophilus harrisii (Tasmanian devil), 1998 nucleotides long. RefSeq lists it as uncharacterized. The transcript has 3 exons. The record is from RefSeq and is a predicted model, not a curated record. NCBI's taxonomy places the organism in Eukaryota, Metazoa, Chordata, Mammalia, Dasyuromorphia, Dasyuridae.
UCCCCUAGCUCGAACUUCCCCCGCCAACGACCCUUCCUUUUCUCAUUACCUCCCUCCCAAAAAGUCGUCAUCACAGGAGCACCCUCCCCUCAGCUCCGCCUCUUCUGGGGACUUCAACACGCCACCUCGGUGCCCGCCCAAGCCGAAGGUUUCUAACCCUGCUCUGCGCCUUUACUCCAACCCCAGUUAUGGGGCGAAAGAGCCCCAGACUUGGAGGACACUAGAGGAAAGGUGCUCCCCCUCCUAGCCAGACCUCCCGCCACCAUGCGCAGCAGCCGCGGGUCUCCUGCUGCUGCACGAGCAGCAGAGCUCCCGGGGAUCCCGGGGAGGAGCUAGGGAGCCGAGUUGGGUCACGUGAAGAUGCGCGGGGGGCUACCGCGCCCCCCUUCUCUCUCCACCACCCCCUUUCUCUCCUUUCCUCUUUCUGCCUCGGUUUCACUGAAGGCGGCCAUCUUAGUCAAGCAAACAACUGUCACUUUCAGGAGCCCCAAAGCUGUGGGCUGGGGUCGACCUCGGGCCUCGCCUCUUCGUAGGCGUUCUUCUUAGAACGGUCUCUACAAGUCGGGUCAUGGCUCCUCCUCUUGUCCGCGUGGCUGGGAAGCGGAGGAAUACAGGCAAUCAAGCAGUGGAUCCUCUGCUAUAUUCUUCAUCAGUAGAAAAAAUCUUUACUUCUUCUUCAGCUCGAACUGCUCAUGAGAAGUAUCAUUUAUCUGCUGGUCCCAAUGAAGCUGGACAGUGGGUGCCAACACGCUCCUUGUGACUCCUUGGACCUCAAGAAUAAGAAGAAAAAGCAAAAGGAGGCGGAGAAGGAUUAGGACAUGCCAGUCAACAGAAAAGAGAGAGUGGAAGAGAAAACUGAAAUGUCUGCGUCAUGGACUUGCUCUAAUCAAAUCCAAGAAUUAGAAAAGUUUGUUUCUAACAUUAAUGUAUUAGCAAAAAAUUUUAACCUCCCUAACAACGCUUCUCAUGACCUUAUUGAUUGGAUAUACCAACAUAUAAUGCCAAUACCCUCAUGCUUGUCUCAUAUUUUACUGUUAAUUGCCUUUUUUUAUUGUAUUGCUGUUGCUUUUACCUUGUAUUUUCCUAUGCUUUCUCUCUCUCUUAAGACAGUCCCUUACAGGACUGGAAGCCGAGUGGCACCCCCUUCAUAGAAAACAAAAAGGGGGAGAUGCUAGGGAACUUAGCAACAAGAAUGCUAAGGAACAGAAUAACAAGAGUCUGCAUUAAUCUUGUGACCCUUCAUCAUGUACCUUGCACACAGUGCCCCAUUUGCGUAAGCAACCAGUCUGUGCAAAGACAAGUCUUGUGCAAACCUGACCCUUAUGGUUUGUGGCUGGUUGGAUCUCAGACAGCUCAGGAAUGGGUUGGGAAUGGAUGUUGAGGCCUCGAGUGUAUGUUCUGCCUGACUGACUACAAGUCCAGGGUAUACACGCUGUAGACACGUCAGGACAGGCAUCAAGCAUGCACCAAAUCGAGAUAGCCUUCACCAUCUCAGGAGUUGAACUCCUGGAUACACAAGCUAUACACAUACUUGUUGCUGUGGCACAUUGGCAAGGGCAGAUGAGAAGGGUAUAAGUACAGAACAGCAGAGGGAGAGAGAGGAAGAAGAGACAAAAUGAUGUAAUCAAGUAAUAAAACUUCUCUAACUGCAUUAGUGGUGUCUGACUAUUCUGUAAUAUCUGGAGACAGCUAAAGGUCAUAGAGUUGAUGAUAAUUGUGGGUAAGUGCUCAGACUCCAGCUGGUGUCAGCAUGUCUGCACUAGCUGAGGACCCCAACAAUGUACCACAAAUUCUGUAGCAUCAAUGAACAUUUACUUUGCUUUUAGUUGUACCACCAAAAAAAAGUGCUACUAUAAGCAUUUUGGUGCUUAAAGAACUUUCUUUUUUAUCAGUGACCUUCUUGAGGCAUAUGGUGAACUUUAUUUUCUUUUUUUUUUUAAAUGAUCAUAUCUGCUUAUGUAGUAUUUGCAUAGAUGAUAGAAGAAAUUAAAUUAUGAU